RNAcentral lists this unclassified non-coding RNA (379 nucleotides) under uncultured Geodermatophilaceae bacterium. RNAcentral's name for it is "contains 16S-23S intergenic spacer region". Lineage: Bacteria; Bacillati; Actinomycetota; Actinomycetes; Geodermatophilales; Geodermatophilaceae. The record is from RNAcentral.
UCCGAGUUGACCCCGGCAGUCUCCUAUGAGUCCCCACCAUCACGUGCUGGCAACAUAGAACGAGGGUUGCGCUCGUUGCGGGACUUAACCCAACAUCUCACGACACGAGCUGACGACAACCAUGCACCACCUGUGCACGACCCAAUAAAGGACCUGCCAUCUCUGACAGAUUUCCGUGCAUGUCAAGCCUAGGUAAGGUUCUUCGCGUUGCAUCGAAUUAAGCAACAUGCUCCGCCGCUUGUGCGGGCCCCCGUCAAUUCCUUUGAGUUUUAGCCUUGCGGCCGUACUCCCCAGGCGGGGCGCUUAAUGCGUUAGCUGCGGCACGGAGACCGUGGAAUGGCCCCCACACCUAGCGCCCAACGUUUACGGCGUGGACUAC